RNAcentral lists this ribosomal RNA (695 nucleotides) under Weissella cibaria. RNAcentral describes it as "bacterial SSU rRNA". It matches the Rfam family "Bacterial small subunit ribosomal RNA", at positions 67 to 719 of the family's 1533-position model. Lineage: Bacteria; Bacillati; Bacillota; Bacilli; Lactobacillales; Lactobacillaceae. The record is from RNAcentral.
UUUGUGGUUCAACUGAUUUGAAGAGCUUGCUCAGAUAUGACGAUGGACAUUGCAAAGAGUGGCGAACGGGUGAGUAACACGUGGGAAACCUACCUCUUAGCAGGGGAUAACAUUUGGAAACAGAUGCUAAUACCGUAUAACAAUAGCAACCGCAUGGUUGCUACUUAAAAGAUGGUUCUGCUAUCACUAAGAGAUGGUCCCGCGGUGCAUUAGUUAGUUGGUGAGGUAAUGGCUCACCAAGACGAUGAUGCAUAGCCGAGUUGAGAGACUGAUCGGCCACAAUGGGACUGAGACACGGCCCAUACUCCUACGGGAGGCAGCAGUAGGGAAUCUUCCACAAUGGGCGAAAGCCUGAUGGAGCAACGCCGCGUGUGUGAUGAAGGGUUUCGGCUCGUAAAACACUGUUGUAAGAGAAGAAUGACAUUGAGAGUAACUGUUCAAUGUGUGACGGUAUCUUACCAGAAAGGAACGGCUAAAUACGUGCCAGCAGCCGCGGUAAUACGUAUGUUCCAAGCGUUAUCCGGAUUUAUUGGGCGUAAAGCGAGCGCAGACGGUUAUUUAAGUCUGAAGUGAAAGCCCUCAGCUCAACUGAGGAAUUGCUUUGGAAACUGGAUGACUUGAGUGCAGUAGAGGAAAGUGGAACUCCAUGUGUAGCGGUGAAAUGCGUANAUAUAUGGAAGAACACCAGUGGCGAA